RNAcentral lists this ribosomal RNA (488 nucleotides) under Saccostrea sp. KKL-2003. Its description in RNAcentral is "partial 16S ribosomal RNA". It matches the Rfam family "Bacterial large subunit ribosomal RNA", at positions 1832 to 2597 of the family's 2925-position model. The record is from RNAcentral. Lineage: Eukaryota; Metazoa; Mollusca; Bivalvia; Ostreida; Ostreidae.
CACUAGGAGAAACUUUACUCUUAGCAGUACCUGCCCAGUGCAAAGUUGUAAACGGCCGCCCUAGCGUGAGGGUGCCAAGGUAGCGAAAUUCCUUGCCUUUUAAUUGUAGGCCUGCAUGAAUGGAUUGACGAGGGUCAAACUGUCUCUUGCUUUGUGUAGUGAAAUUGGACUGAAGGUGAAGAUACCUUCAUAUAAAAGUUAGACAAGAAGACCCCGUGCAGCUUUUAAAAACUUACUUAUUAAGAGUUAUAAGAUUUUUAGGUGGGGCGCCUAGGAAGUAAAACUUAACCUUCUUAUUUGUUAAAGAUAACUGUCUGGUGUAGACCCGGCAAGUCCGAUCAUGGGAGAAGUUACGCCGGGGAUAACAGGCUUAUCCAUUAGUAGAGCUCGUAUUGGCUAAUGGGAUUGGCACCUCGAUGUUGAAUUAAGGAUAAUACCUCUAAGGCGUAGAGGCUUUGGAAGUGGGUCUGUUCGACCUUUAAUACCUU